Molecule: ribosomal RNA, 497 nt
Filed under: uncultured bacterium
Lineage: Bacteria
Description: partial 16S ribosomal RNA
Rfam family: Bacterial small subunit ribosomal RNA
Source: RNAcentral
GAUGAACGCUGGCGGCGUGCCUAAUACAUGCAAGUCGAGCGAACAGACGAGGAGCUUGCUCCUCUGACGUUAGCGGCGGAAGGGUGAGUAACACGUGGAUAACCUACCUAUAAGACUGGGAUAACUUCGGGAAACCGGAGCUAAUACCGGAUAAUAUAUUGAACCGCAUGGUUCAAUAGUGAAAGACGGUUUUGCUGUCACUUAUAGAUGGAUCCGCGCCGCAUUAGCUAGUUGGUAAGGUAACAGCUUACCAAGGCAACGAUGCGUAGCCGACCUGAGAGGGUGAUCGGCCACACUGGAACUGAGACACGGUCCAGACUCCUACGGGAGGCAGCAGUAGGGAAUCUUCCGCAAUGGGCGAAAGCCUGACGGAGCAACGCCGCGUGAGUGAUGAAGGUCUUCGGAUCGUAAAACUCUGUUAUUAGGGAAGAACAAAUGUGUAAGUAACUAUGCACGUCUUGACGGUACCUAAUCAGAAAGCCACGGCUAACUACGUG